Molecule: small nuclear RNA, 108 nt
Filed under: Propithecus coquereli (Coquerel's sifaka)
Lineage: Eukaryota; Metazoa; Chordata; Mammalia; Primates; Indriidae
Source: RNAcentral
GCGCUUGCUUCAGCAGCACAUAUACUAAAAUUGGAACCAUACAGAGAAGACUAGCAUGGCCCCUAUGCAAGGAUGAUGCUUUUAAUAAAUUAAAAAAUAAAUAAAUAA